UUUGAGGGAAUUAAAACACAUAAAUACUCUUGUGGGAAGGACCUGACCAUCAAAAACAUGUCCACCGGUACACCUCUUACGAGUCCCAUCCUGGUAACGUUAAAAGAUGGAAUAAAAGCUUCAUAGCCUUUUCCAAUAAGGCAUGAUGUUUUAAGAAAGAAUUUGCUGCUAAGUGACUUGUGAAUGCCAUUGAAAUUUUGUUGCGACCAAUACGCUUCAAACUGCCUUGUACUAUGUUUGACACCUGGUUUUUAUAUAAAAAUCUGCCAAAGCAUAUUGGAUGCAAAUUAAGAUCUUGUGUUAUCUCUCCUGUACUAGACCUAGCAACAUGAAUAAUAAACGGUGAAGCAUCCAAUGCA
Manduca sexta (tobacco hornworm) is the source of this 359-nucleotide long non-coding RNA. RefSeq lists it as uncharacterized. NCBI's taxonomy places the organism in Eukaryota, Metazoa, Arthropoda, Insecta, Lepidoptera, Sphingidae. The transcript is spliced from 2 exons. The record is from RefSeq and is a predicted model, not a curated record.